AAUGUGUGAAUGACGUGAAGGUAACUGAUAUGUGGGAUGUCAGUAAAGAUCCCCAAAAUAGUACCAUGGAAUGGAAUGAUGACAUUUAACAGCAUCAAUGUGCAGUAUUGCUCUCAGGUUAAAUCAAUCAACCUCUGAAGGAGUGCAAUGGCAGCAAGUGUGUCUGUGGGUGUGAAAAGGGUACAGGAAUGUUAGGUGACAGCAAGUGCAUGAUGAAUCCGCAGUGAGACCUCACUGCCAAAGCUUCUGGGAGACAAGGUCCGGACAUGAGUGUGCCAGGAAUGAGCUUGUCAGUGACCAGCCUCUGGAAUAAGAGGUUCCACAGCAGUUUCAGCUUGGAUGGCUUAUUUAAGACUUCUGGCAUCUCAGUUGGAAAAAUCAAGUGUACACACUGUAGGGGCUGGGGAUUUAGCUCAGCGGCAUAAGCGCCUGCCUUGUAAGCAGGCAGUCGUGAGUUCGAUCCCCGGUACCGAUAAAAAGGAAAAAGACAAAAAAAAGUGUACACGCUGUGACUGGGAAGUGAUGGUGAUGUCAACAUCUGAGGUUGUACUCACAAGGAACAGCAAAGUACCAACUCCUCUGAAGUCAAACUGGAAUACACGACUUUGACUUGAGGCUCAGAGAAGACUUUGGAUUUAAACUUUUCAGUAAUGCUGGAACUAUUAAAACUUUGGUGACUUUUAGCUAUGCACUAAAUUCCUUUCACAUAGAGAGAUGCACAUGACUCUUCUGAGGGUCAGGGAAAGAAUUUCAUGGAUUGGAUCAAGAAUUUCCCUCUUAUGCAUUCAGAAGCAGGGCUUUUAGGGAUUGGAUCAGGGGUUUGGAGCUGAAUGUGCCAUUGGGAGGUGAGGCCUGGGGGGAAGAAGCCGGUCACCAAGGGUACUCUCCUGCUUCCUCCUUUUCUCUGCUUCCUGGUCACCAUGACAGGAGCAGCUCUUCUCUGCCCAGGCCCUUCCAUCAUGUGGUUUUAGUGGUUAAACCUUCCAAACAUACAGUGAAACCUCUGAAACCUCUCAAAACAAACACCACUUUCUUUAAAAGUUGCUGGUGUGGGACUUUGUGUUGCAGAGGCAAAGACAGAGGAUCUGACCAUUUCUAGUCACAAGGAGGGUUAGGUAAUUAAAGUACCUUAUCAUCUUGAAUAAAAUCA
Long non-coding RNA from Cavia porcellus (domestic guinea pig), 1150 nucleotides. RefSeq lists it as uncharacterized. NCBI's taxonomy places the organism in Eukaryota, Metazoa, Chordata, Mammalia, Rodentia, Caviidae. The record is from RefSeq and is a predicted model, not a curated record. The transcript is spliced from 3 exons.